ACUCAAGAGUAUACGGAGGAUGGCUUGACAAAACAUGCUGAUGAAGGACGUAGUAAUCUGCGAUAAGCUUCGGUGAGGUGAUAAACAACCUUUGACCCGAAGAUCUCCGAAUGGGGAAACCCGAUUGGGGGAAUGCCCAAUCACUGUGCACUGAAUACAUAGGUGUACGGAAGGCACCCAGGGAAGUGAAACAUCUCAGUACCUGGAGGAAAAGAAAAGAAGGAUCAACUAUCUCAGCUAUUAGCUUUUAGCUUAUAGCUUUUAGGGCGACCUAUAAGCUAGUAGCUAUCAGCUAUAAGCUGAGACAAUAGUUGUUCUCAUUCCCAGAGUAGUGGCGAGCGAAAUGGGAACAGCCCAAACCUAUUAAGUGAAGUCCGCUGAAAUUUCUCUUCAGAGAGGUGUAGGCGAAACGAAAGAUAUCAGUCGUUGCUUAGUAGGUGUUGUAAGCACAUAUGUCCAUGUCUGAUAGCAUGGGAAGUGAUAUUCGUCUUUUAGUGAAAUCUACUGGGAAGUAGAACCAUAGAAGGUGAUAGUCCUGUACGCGAAAAAAGUUCGAGUACGCUUGAUAUGUUUGCUUGAGUACGGCGGAACACGUGAAAUUCUGUCGGAAUCUGCCGCGACUAUGCGGUAAGGCUAAAUACAUGUUUUGAUCGAUAGUGAAGAGUACCGUGAGGGAAAGCUUAAAAGAACCCCGAGAGGGGAGUGAAAUAGCAUCUGAAACCGUAUACUUACAAGGAGUCGGAGCCCCGCACCUUUCCUAAGAUGGAUUGGUCGGAUAAAGAAAAGUGGAGUCGCUAGACGACUUCGCCUUUCGACGUGUCGGUCUCAACAUAUUAUGUUGGGAAAGGUGCGGGGUGACGGCGUUCCUAUUGAAGAAUGAGCCAACGAGUCUGUGUGUGUUGCAGGUUAAGUCCUAAGGGACGGAGCCAGAGUGAAAGCGAGCCUUAACGGGCGUUAGUAGCAUACAUAGGACCCGAAACCGGGUGACCUAACCAUGGCCAGGGUGAAGCGGGUGUAACAGCCCGUGGAGGCCCGAACCCACGCACCGUGCAAAAUGCGGGGAUGAGCUGUGGUUAGCGGAGAAAUUCCAAUCGAACUCGGUAAUAGCUGGUUCUCCUCGAGAUAUGUUUAGGCAUAGCGUCAGUUAAUAGCGUGUUGGGGGUAGAGCACUGAUUGGGGUUGGCGUCUUCGGAUAGCCACCCUAGCCAAACUCCGAAUACUAACACGUGUUCCUGGCAGUCAGACCAUGGGGGCGAAGCUCCAUUGGUCGAAAGGGAAACAGCCCAGAUCUCAAGCUAAGGUCCCUAAAUCACUACUAAGUGUAAAAGGUGGUGAGGAAACUUAUACAACCAGGAGGUUGGCUUAGAAGCAGCCAUCCUUUAAAGAUAGCGUAACAGCUCACUGGUCAAGUUUCCUUGCGCCGAAAAUAUACCGGGGCUAAGUAGUGUACCGAAGCUGAGGGUGUAAUGAUUCUUCGGAGUCAUUACGCGGUAGAGGAGCGUUUCUAUUGCGAUGAAGUCGUACCGUAAGGUGCGGUGGAGCGAUAGGAAGUGAGAAUGUUGGCAUGAGUAGCAAAAAGACAGGUGAGAAUCCUGUCCGCCGAAAAUCUAAGGUUUCCACAGCAACGAGAAUCGACUGUGGGUUAGUCGGGAGCUAAGGCGAGGCCGAAAGGCGUAGUCGAUGCACAGCAGGCUAAUAUUCCUGCACCACGUUAUUUUUCCGAUGGGGGGACGUUUGUUUUAUCUUCCUGUGUCCUAUGGCUAUGACACUGGGGGCUCGAAGUUGAUGGGUAGGCAAAUCCGCUCGUCAUAAGACUUUGAGUCAUCGCAAUCCCGCUUCGGCGGGAGAGAGGAAGUGAGAACGAACCAAGAAAAUCCUCUAGGGUUAAGGAUAACGUGCCCGUACUAAAACCGACACAGGUAGAUAGGUGUUAAAGCACUAAGGCGUACGAGAGAAACAUUGUUAGGGAACUCGGCAAAACAGCGGCCGUAACUUCGGGAUAAGGCCUGGUUUUCUCCGGGAGGAGAAGACCCACAGCUAAGGAUUGCAAGCGACUGUUUAUCAAAAACAUAGCUCCCUGCUAAAUCGCAAGAUGAUGUAUAGGGGGUGAUGCCUGGCCAGUGUCCGAACGUUAAAGAAGUUGGUUAGUCCUUCGGGGCGAAGCUGACGACUGAAGCGCGGAUGAACGCCGGCCGUAACUAUAACGGUCCUAAGGUAGCGAAAUUCCUUGUCGGGUGAGUUCCGACCUGCACGAAUGGCAUAACGACUUGCAAACUGUCCCAACAAUGUACUCGGCGAAAUUGCGAGGGGAGUGAAGAUGCUCUCUACGCACAGUUGGACGAAAAGACCCCGUGAAGCUUUACUAUAGCUUGCUAUUGGGUUCAUGUUUCACAUGUUCAGUAUAGGUGGGAGCCUUCGGGCGCCAGUGAGAUACCACCCUUGUGUUGUGUGAAUUCUAACCGGAGACCAUGAAUCUGGUUUCUAGAACAGUAGCUGGUAGGUAGUUUGACUGGGGCGGUAGCCUCCUAAAAAGUAACGGAGGCGUUUACAAAGGUUCUCUUAGCCCGGAUGGAAAUCGGGCUGAAUGUGCAAGCGCAUAAGAGAGCUUUACUGCAAGGCUGACACGCCGAGCAGUUGCGAAAGCAGAAGCUAGUGAUCCGACCGUUCGAUAUAGGACGGCGGAAGCUCAUCGGAUAAAAGCUACUCCGGGGAUAACAGGCUAGUCUUGCCCAAGCGUCCACAGCGACGGCAAGGUUCGGCACCUCGAUGUCGGCUCAUCGCAUCCUGGGGGUGAAGAAGCUCCCAAGGGUUAGGCUGUUCGCCUAUUAAAGCGGUACGCGAGCUGGGUUCAGAACGUCGUGAGACAGUUCGGUCUCCUAUCCACUGCGCGCGUUGAAGAUUGAAAGGACUCAUCCCUAGUACGAGAGGACCGGGAUGAACUGACCUCUGGUGUACCAGUUGUCGCGCCCGCGGCAUUGCUGGGUAGCUACGUCGGGUUCGGAUAACCGCUGAAAGCAUCUAAGCGGGAAGUCGACCUUAAGAUUAAUCUUCGUUUGAGACACCUGAGAGACUAUCAGGUUGAUAGGCACUAGGUAUAAGCUUGGUAACAAGUUAAGCCGAGGUGUACUAAUAAGUCGAAGCU
RNAcentral lists this ribosomal RNA (3142 nucleotides) under Candidatus Uhrbacteria bacterium CG_4_10_14_3_um_filter_41_21. RNAcentral describes it as "bacterial LSU rRNA". It matches the Rfam family "Bacterial large subunit ribosomal RNA". The record is from RNAcentral. Lineage: Bacteria; Candidatus Uhriibacteriota.